GAUGAACGCUGGCGGCGUGCCUAAUACAUGCAAGUCGAGCGAACAGACGAGGAGCUUGCUCCUCUGACGUUAGCGGCGGACGGGUGAGUAACACGUGGAUAACCUACCUAUAAGACUGGGAUAACUUCGGAAAACCGGAGCAAAUACCGUUAAAUUAAUUGAACCGCAUGGUUCAUUAUUGAAAGUGGGUUUUCCUGUUCUUUUACGACGGUUCCGCGCCGCAUUAGCUAGUUGGUAAGGUAACGGCUUACCAAGGCAACGAUGCGUAGCCGACCUGAGAGGAUGAUCGGCCACACUGGAACUGAGACACGGUCCAGACUCCUACGGGAGGCAGCAGUAGGGAAUCUUCCGCAAUGGGCGAAAGCCUGACGGAGCAACGCCGCGUGAGUGAUGAAGGUCUUCGGAUCGUAAAACUCUGUUAUUGGGGAAGAACAAAUGUGUAAGUAACUAUGCACGUCUUGACGGUACCUAAUCAGAAAGCCACGGCUAACUACGUG
RNAcentral lists this ribosomal RNA (497 nucleotides) under uncultured bacterium. RNAcentral describes it as "partial 16S ribosomal RNA". It matches the Rfam family "Bacterial small subunit ribosomal RNA", at positions 28 to 507 of the family's 1533-position model. The record is from RNAcentral.